CAUACGUUGACGGUAUUUAACCAGAAAGUCACGGCUAACUACGUGCCAGCAGCCGCGGUAAUACGUAGGUGGCAAGCGUUAUCCGGAUUUAUUGGGCGUAAAGAGAGUGCAGGCGGUUUUCUAAGUCUGAUGUGAAAGCCCUUCGGCUUAAACCGGAGAAGUGCAUCGGAAACUGGAUAAACUUGAGUGCAGAAGAGGGUAGUGGAACUCCAUGUGUAGCGGUGGAAUGCGUAGAUAUAUGGAAGAACACCAGUGGCGAAGGCGGCUACCUGGUCUGCAACUGACGCUGAGACUCGAAAGCAUGGGUAGCGAACAGGAUUAGAUACCCUGGUAG
This 334-nucleotide ribosomal RNA is filed under the name uncultured bacterium. RNAcentral describes it as "bacterial SSU rRNA". It matches the Rfam family "Bacterial small subunit ribosomal RNA", at positions 463 to 793 of the family's 1533-position model. The record is from RNAcentral.